This 253-nucleotide ribosomal RNA is filed under the name uncultured bacterium. Its description in RNAcentral is "partial 16S ribosomal RNA". It matches the Rfam family "Bacterial small subunit ribosomal RNA", at positions 524 to 776 of the family's 1533-position model. The record is from RNAcentral.
UACGUAGCAGCGAGCGUUUGUUCGGAGUUACUGGGCGUAAAGAGUGCGUAGGCGGUCAGCCAAGUUUGGUGUGAAAUCUCCCGGCUCAACUGGGAGGGUGCGCCGAAAACUGGCUGGCUAGAGUAUGGGAGAGGAAAGCGGAAUUCCUGGUGUAGCGGUGAAAUGCGUAGAUAUCAGGAGGAACACCUGUGGUGUAGACAGCUUUCUGGACCAUCACUGACGCUGAGGCACGAAAGCGUGGGUAGCAAACAGG